RNAcentral lists this transfer RNA (73 nucleotides) under Caracara plancus (crested caracara). RNAcentral describes it as "tRNA-Asn". It matches the Rfam family "tRNA". From Rfam's summary of the family: Transfer RNA (tRNA) molecules are approximately 80 nucleotides in length. Their secondary structure includes four short double-helical elements and three loops (D, anti-codon, and T loops). Further hydrogen bonds mediate the characteristic L-shaped molecular structure. tRNAs have two regions of fundamental functional importance: the anti-codon, which is responsible for specific mRNA codon recognition, and the 3' end, to which the tRNAs corresponding amino acid is attached (by aminoacyl-tRNA synthetases). tRNAs cope with the degeneracy of the genetic code in two manners: having more than one tRNA (with a specific anti-codon) for a particular amino acid; and 'wobble' base-pairing, i.e. permitting non-standard base-pairing at the 3rd anti-codon position. Lineage: Eukaryota; Metazoa; Chordata; Aves; Falconiformes; Falconidae. RNAcentral also lists the same sequence under 2 other names. The record is from RNAcentral.
UAGAUAGAAGCUUGCUGGUUUAGGCGCCUAGCUGUUAACUAGGAGUUUAUGGGAUCGAGGCCCGUCUGUCUAG